GGUAAUACGAAGGGUGCAAGCGUUACUCGGAAUUACUGGGCGUAAAGCGUGCGUAGGUGGUUGUUUAAGUCUGUUGUGAAAGCCCUGGGCUCAACCUGGGAAUUGCAGUGGAUACUGGGCGACUAGAGUGUGGUAGAGGGUAGUGGAAUUCCCGGUGUAGCAGUGAAAUGCGUAGAGAUCGGGAGGAACAUCCAUGGCGAAGGCAGCUACCUGGACCAACACUGACACUGAGGCACGAAAGCGUGGGGAGCAAACAGGAUU
Molecule: ribosomal RNA, 261 nt
Filed under: Stenotrophomonas rhizophila
Lineage: Bacteria; Pseudomonadati; Pseudomonadota; Gammaproteobacteria; Lysobacterales; Lysobacteraceae
Description: partial 16S ribosomal RNA
Rfam family: Bacterial small subunit ribosomal RNA
Source: RNAcentral